AUUGAACGCUGGCGGCAUGCCUUACACAUGCAAGUCGAACGGCAGCGGACCUUCGGGUGCCGGCGAGUGGCGAACGGGUGAGUAAUAUAUCGGAACGUACCUUUCAGUGGGGGAUAACGUAGCGAAAGUUACGCUAAUACCGCAUAUUCUGUGAGCAGGAAAGCAGGGGAUCGCAAGACCUUGCGCUGAUUGAGCGGCCGAUAUCAGAUUAGCUAGUUGGUGAGGUAAAGGCUCACCAAGGCGACGAUCUGUAGCGGGUCUGAGAGGAUGAUCCGCCACACUGGAACUGAGACACGGUCCAGACUCCUACGGGAGGCAGCAGUGGGGAAUUUUGGACAAUGGGCGCAAGCCUGAUCCAGCCAUGCCGCGUGAGUGAAGAAGGCCUCGGUUGUAAGU
Molecule: ribosomal RNA, 396 nt
Filed under: uncultured bacterium
Lineage: Bacteria
Description: bacterial SSU rRNA
Rfam family: Bacterial small subunit ribosomal RNA
Source: RNAcentral